This is a non-coding RNA of Triticum aestivum (bread wheat), 125 nucleotides long. The record is from Rfam. Lineage: Eukaryota; Viridiplantae; Streptophyta; Magnoliopsida; Poales; Poaceae.
UAUAUACUCCCUCCGUCUGGAAAUACUUGUUAGUGGAAUGGAUGUAUCUAGACGUAUUUUAGUUCUUGAUACAUCCAUUUUUAUGCAUUUCUCUGACAAAUAUUUCCGGACAGAGGGAGUAUUAA